UACGGAGGGUGCAAGCGUUAAUCGGAAUUACUGGGCGUAAAGCGCACGCAGGUGGCUGAGUCAGUCGAUUGUGAAAGCCCUGGGCUUAACCUGGGAAUUGCAGUCGAUACUACUUAGCUAGAGUAUGGGAGAGGGCAGUGGAAUUCCCGGUGUAGCGGUGAAAUGCGUAGAGAUGUGGAGGAACACCAAUGGCGAAGGCAGCCUUCUGGGUCGACACUGACGCUCAUGCACGAAAGCGUGGGGAGCAAACAGG
RNAcentral lists this ribosomal RNA (253 nucleotides) under uncultured bacterium. Its description in RNAcentral is "partial 16S ribosomal RNA". It matches the Rfam family "Bacterial small subunit ribosomal RNA", at positions 524 to 776 of the family's 1533-position model. The record is from RNAcentral.